AGUCGAGCGGGGGAAGGUAGCUUGCUACUGGACCUAGCGGCGGACGGGUGAGUAAUGCUUAGGAAUCUGCCUAUUAGUGGGGGACAACAUCUCGAAAGGGAUGCUAAUACCGCAUACGUCCUACGGGAGAAAGCAGGGGAUCUUCGGACCUUGCGCUAAUAGAUGAGCCUAAGUCGGAUUAGCUAGUUGGUGGGGUAAAGGCCUACCAAGGCGACGAUCUGUAGCGGGUCUGAGAGGAUGAUCCGCCACACUGGGACUGAGACACGGCCCAGACUCCUACGGGAGGCAGCAGUGGGGAAUAUUGGACAAUGGGGGGAACCCUGAUCCAGCCAUGCCGCGUGUGUGAAGAAGGCCUUAUGGUUGUAAAGCACUUUAAGCGAGGAGGAGGCUACUUUAGUUAAUACCUAGAGAUAGUGGACGUUACUCGCAGAAUAAGCACCGGCUAACUCUGUGCCAGCAGCCGCGGUAAUACAGAGGGUGCGAGCGUUAAUCGGAUUUACUGGGCGUAAAGCGUGCGUAGGCGGCUUAUUAAGUCGGAUGUGAAAUCCCCGAGCUUAACUUGGGAAUUGCAUUCGAUACUGGUGAGCUAGAGUAUGGGAGAGGAUGGUAGAAUUCCAGGUGUAGCGGUGAAAUGCGUAGAGAUCUGGAGGAAUACCGAUGGCGAAGGCAGCCAUCUGGCCUAAUACUGACGCUGAGGUACGAAAGCAUGGGGAGCAAACAGGAUUAGAUACCCUGGUAGUCCAUGCCGUAAAC
Molecule: ribosomal RNA, 753 nt
Filed under: Acinetobacter baumannii
Lineage: Bacteria; Pseudomonadati; Pseudomonadota; Gammaproteobacteria; Moraxellales; Moraxellaceae
Description: bacterial SSU rRNA
Rfam family: Bacterial small subunit ribosomal RNA
Source: RNAcentral